Molecule: ribosomal RNA, 470 nt
Filed under: uncultured Nitrospira sp.
Lineage: Bacteria; Pseudomonadati; Nitrospirota; Nitrospiria; Nitrospirales; Nitrospiraceae
Description: bacterial SSU rRNA
Rfam family: Bacterial small subunit ribosomal RNA
Source: RNAcentral
AACGAACGCUGGCGGCGCGCCUAACGCAUGCAAGUCGAACGAGGUUAUUUUUUGAAACCGGCUUCGGUUGGUGGAAAGUUAUAAUCUAGUGGCGGACGGGUGAGUAACACGUAGGUAACCUACCCUAGGGAUCGGGAUACUCCCGAGAAAUCGGGGACAAUACCGGGUAUCAUUACAGGGCGAAAUUCCCAGUAAUAAAAGCUGCGAGCAAUCGUGGCGCCUUAGGAUGGGCCUGCGGCCUAUCAGCUUGUUGGUGAGGUAACGGCUUACCAAGGCUAUGACGGGUAACCGGACUGAGAGGUCGAUCGGUCACACUGGAACUGAGACACGGUCCAGACUCCUACGGGAGGCAGCAGUGGGGAAUUUUGCGCAAUGGGCGAAAGCCUGACGCAGCGACGCCGCGUGGAGGAAGAAGGCCUUUGGGUUGUAAACUCCUUUCGUGAGGGAAAAAGUCUCGAGCAAUCGGGAUG